UGCGACUAGGCCUGGUAUAAUGCCAUUCUUAUUCUUUUUCGUAUAAUCUCACAAGUAGUUCUCUUAAAAUAAAAACGAAUUUACUUAUUAGGACGUUUCCACCAGAUUUCUUUGAGGCAUUCUAGCAAACAGCUGUUGCAUGCCUUCUAAAGGUUGGCACUUAAAAAGUCCUGUGCUGAGUUUUUGCAGACUUCACCUGCCAAAUUGAACCGUUUUCAAAGCCUCUAAUACGCACCGUUUUUAGCCACUUCGCCGCACCUGAAAUUCAAAACGCUGCGUUAUCAAGCUGUCACUACGCAGCACUAGCCAGUGGCCGCUAUAUCUUGCGUCACCAAGAUGAAGGGGAAAAAAAUUUCGCGGGAGUAAUCAGAAGCCGAAAAAUGUCUAGUGAUUCGAAAUUCUCCCUUCUAUGCCAUCUGAUCGAUGAUUCCGUUCGUCCGUUCACUGAAUCGGAAGUGAUUUCUUUAACCAGAGACAAGGAGAAGGAUCUUCUAAUUGCUCUCUCUCGGGUCUUGAGAGAAAUUCAGCUUAUGAAGCUGGCACUUGAUUGCGAUUCUGAUAAAGAAGUGGCUCCGGAACUUGCUUGUGACAAAGACGUUGGUGGAUCAGGGAUGCAUCAUGAGGACCAUAACUGUUUGAUCAAGAUACUAGCAGACUUGAUAAUUCUUCUAACGGUUGAGAGUCGAUUUGUACAACACUUGGUGGGCAACAUUCUUGUAGUCAUUUCUGAGUUCGUGGCUGCAUCUGGAAAGGAGUGGGAUUCUUUCAUUCAUUCAUUGUUUAUUUGUCUGGAAUUGGCAAUUGCCAAUAUGUUGUCACACUUUCUGGCACCUUCAAAAAAUGGAGCUGGGGACUCCAGUUAUGACUCAUCUAGUUUUUUUCUCUUAAAAUCUCGACUGGAAAAUGCUAACUGGUCUACAGCAGCUACAAUUAUUCGAGUUUUACGCAAAACAUUAAAAUAUUUGAAGCAAGAGGAUGAUGAUCACCUUUGCGAAAUGUACUUGGAUUCUGCCAGUUCUUUUCUUUCAGAUGUGCCUUGGGAUUUCAUGGAUGAGAUUCAAAUUGGUCAGAGUAGCGAUGCUAAGGAAAAUGAUUCUCAGAAUAGUCAUUUUAUUGAUGCUUUAUUUGUUAGAAAGAGUGGUGAGAAGGACGCAAGAGUUGUAUUUCUUGGGAAUUUUAUCCAGUUCCUUUGUUCAUUGGUUGAGCAAAGCUGUGCUGUGGAACCCAAGGUUGAUUCCUAUGAUCAUCAUCCAGUUCUUUGCAUAAUCAUCAGUUUUGUGCCCAAACUUUUAUCUUGGUGCCUCGGCAAGCAUGAGAAUUUUCUGAAAAUGUCUGUCUCUCAGUACUUCAGGCAUAAAUUGUUGAUGCUAAUGCUGAGGCUUAGUUACCAGACUUGUUUAGGUUGCUCUACUCUCAUUUCAUGGUUGCAACUUCUUCACGUUUACUUUGAAGAGCUCUUGUGGAAACCCAUAAUCAAACUUGAUUUUGGUCAGGAAGAAUGCCUUGAAGGUUCUCCAUUUUUAUUGAGUCUUUCUGAUAGAGUACAUGGAAUCAAUUCUCAUCACUUACAAAGGUGGACCGUUCUUCUUUUCGUAAAGUGUUGCUUCAGUCUGAUCAGCUUGACAAGGGAAACUAGCAAGCAAUGUGGAUGUGCGACUCUCAACUCUUCUUUGACAUUUGACUCAAUAUCAGACCUGGACAGUUAUGGUAGAAGGCAAGGCUUCUUAGAGCUCUACAAAUGGCUUCAAGGGCAUCUUCCAACUGAUACGUUUCUGGAUCAUGAAAUGUAUUUGGAAAAGUGUAGAGGUUUUUCCUUAUCUUUCCUCCAGUUAUAUAUGCAUGAGGAUGAUAUAUUAUUUAAGGUGCUUUUGGAACUGCUUAGCAUACAGCCCUUUUUAGAGCAGCAAUCAAAUAAAGAAAAAUGGACAAAUGGAGAUGUCAAACAAGAUACUCUUUUUUAUGUUGCAAGCAUUUUUAAUCCUGUAAACCUGUUCCAUCUGUUCCUUGCAGAGGCAAGUCUUUUGCAUUCACAAGGUUUGAUGUUUAUUUUUCCUGUAAUUUCAUUUGUGAUUCUUAUUCUCUUGCAGUUGCAUUAUGAUCAUCAAGUGCUUCUUGAUUACCUUAUUUCUAAAGAUACAGGAAUCACUUGUGCAGAAUAUCUUUUAAGGUGUUUGCGUACAGUAUGCAAUUCAUGGAACUUAUUCAUAACAUUUUCUGUGCAUAAGAAAAUUGUGGAUCAAUCAUCUUGCAAGAAAAGAAAAAUAUAUUCGGAUGGCUUUAAUCUUCAGGUGGAGGCAUCAUCUAUAACUAUAAAAGAUAUUUCUUCAUCACUUGAAGACAAAUGCAAGAAAGAUAUUGAAUGUAGCCACAAGCACUGGAAAAACACAAGCCAACCGUUCAAGAAAGCCAAAAAUUGUUUGCUUUCUUUAAAAGAUUCUGUAGAAAAUCUUCAUCGGAAGAAUUUGUUUCCAUAUAAUCCUGAAGUUCUCUUGAAACGUUUAACAAAAUUUCAGGAAUUAUGCUUUGAUCAAAAGAGUCGUGGCUUUUCCUGAACUCGAGGAACUAUUUAGGAACUUGCGCUGCAUUAGAAUUUGCAUCUGUUGCUUUAAGAUUAUAUGGUAAAUCAGAAUCAUAUUGCUUAAAGCACUUGAUCAUCUCCCAAGUUCUUCAAUCCAAAUUGUUGUGAUGUACUGUUGAAGUAUUCUUAACCAUUUGACAAAUUGAUUGAUGCUUGAGUAAAGACUAGUUGCCUGAUGACAUUGUGGUUAACAUGAGCGUAACCAUCCAUUUGAAGAUUCCAUCAACCUUAUUUUGGCACUUGGAAUAUUCUUUAUUUGUCUUUUAAUAAUGAUGUGGAGUAUAUGCACGGAAAAUUUGGAUCAGACAACUAAAUGUAUGCUCACCGUUAGAGUCUUUAAAAUCUUUCCUAUUUAAUUUUAUUCCUUAUUUGAGGAAUCGUUAACCUAGGAAUUCAUUAGCUGCAUAUUCCUAAUUAGUUGUAAUUCCUGUAUAUUCCUAAUUUGUUGUAUUUUUCCUUUAUUUGUGAAGUCUUUUGGAGUAUAUAUAUUUCUUGUAUUUAUAACUUUCAGAAAUAUAAGAAAGCAGAGUAUAAUUUUGAUCACUCGCUAAAGGAAGGGAUCAAAGUCAUCCCUCUUCCUAUA
RNA transcript from Hevea brasiliensis (rubber tree), 3161 nucleotides. RefSeq lists it as uncharacterized. The record is from RefSeq and is a predicted model, not a curated record. NCBI's taxonomy places the organism in Eukaryota, Viridiplantae, Streptophyta, Magnoliopsida, Malpighiales, Euphorbiaceae. The transcript has 11 exons.